CGGGUUGUGGCUUAGUGGUAGAGUACUUGCCUAGCAUGUGUGAGGCACUGGGUUCAAUCCUCAGCACCACGU
This 72-nucleotide transfer RNA is filed under the name Ictidomys tridecemlineatus (thirteen-lined ground squirrel). RNAcentral describes it as "Spermophilus tridecemlineatus (thirteen-lined ground squirrel) tRNA". It matches the Rfam family "tRNA". Rfam says of the family: Transfer RNA (tRNA) molecules are approximately 80 nucleotides in length. The record is from Rfam by way of RNAcentral. Lineage: Eukaryota; Metazoa; Chordata; Mammalia; Rodentia; Sciuridae.